Manis pentadactyla (Chinese pangolin) is the source of this 108-nucleotide small nuclear RNA. The record is from RefSeq and is a predicted model, not a curated record. Lineage: Eukaryota; Metazoa; Chordata; Mammalia; Pholidota; Manidae.
GUGCUCGCUUUGGCAGCACAUAUACUAAAACUGGAAUAACACAGAAAAGAUUAGUAUGGCCUCUUGCACAAGGAUGACACACAACUUAAUGAAGCAUUCAUAUUAAAA